UACGUAGGCAGCAAGCGUUGUUCGGAAUUACUGGGCGUAAAGAGUGUGUAGGCUGUGCUCUAAGUCUGUUGUGAAAUCUCCCGGCUUAACCGGGAGGGUGCGGCGGAAACUGGAGUGCUUGAGGGUGGGAGAGGUAAGCGGAAUUCCUGGUGUAGCGGUGAAAUGCGUAGAUAUCAGGAGGAACACCUGUGGUGUAGACAGCUUACUGGACCACUUCUGACGCUGAGACACGAAAGCGUGGGUAGCAAACAGG
This 253-nucleotide ribosomal RNA is filed under the name uncultured bacterium. RNAcentral's name for it is "partial 16S ribosomal RNA". It matches the Rfam family "Bacterial small subunit ribosomal RNA", at positions 524 to 776 of the family's 1533-position model. The record is from RNAcentral.